Molecule: long non-coding RNA, 207 nt
Filed under: Elaeis guineensis (African oil palm)
Lineage: Eukaryota; Viridiplantae; Streptophyta; Magnoliopsida; Arecales; Arecaceae
Description: long non-coding RNA (EGUI_LNC022113)
Source: RNAcentral
CACAAGUCCGUCUAAUGACAGUAUCAGCUACAGCAAAAUAAAAGCUUAAAAUCAAUUAUUUAUAUAUGAUAAAAAUUUAAUAUAAAUUAAAUAUAAAAAAAAUUAGAAUAUAUAAAAUCAAUCUAUCAUAGCAGGAGAUGAUGUGCCUGCCUCAGUAGACAGUUGUGGAGAUGAGGUACCGACAUCUCCAUGUGGGUCCCUCCUCUC